This 352-nucleotide ribosomal RNA is filed under the name uncultured bacterium. Its description in RNAcentral is "partial 16S ribosomal RNA". It matches the Rfam family "Bacterial small subunit ribosomal RNA", at positions 338 to 682 of the family's 1533-position model. The record is from RNAcentral.
CCUACGGGUGGCAGCAGUAGGGAAUCUUCCACAAUGGGCGCAAGCCUGAUGGAGCAACACCGCGUGAGUGAAGAAGGGUUUCGGCUCGUAAAGCUCUGUUGUUGGAGAAGAACGUGCGGGAGAGUAAGUGUUCACGCAGGGACGGUAUCCAACCAGAAAGGCACGGCUAACUACGGGCCAGCAGCCGCGGUAAUACGUAGGUGGCAAGCGUUAUCCGGCUUUAUUGGGCGUAAAGCGAGCGCAGGCGGUUGCUUAGGUCUGAGGUGAAAGCCUUCGGCGUAACCGAAGAAGUGCAUCGGAAACCCGGCGACUUGCGUGCAGCUGAGGCCAGUGGCACUCCCUGUGUAGCGGU